UCAGACGAUGCGUCAUGCAUAUCAAUAAGCGGAGGAAAAGAAACUAACAAGGAUUCCCUCAGUAACGGCGAGUGAAGCGGGAAGAGCUCAAAUUUGAAAUCUUCAAGGUUUUACCUUGACGAAUUGUAGUUUAAAGAAGUGUUUUCUGCUGAAGUUUUGGUAAAAGUUCUUUGGAAUAGGACAUCAUAGAGGGUGAGAAUCCCGUAUUUGACCAUUAUUUUCAGCUUUGUGAUACACUUUCAAAGAGUCGGAUUGUUUGGGAAUGCAGUCCAAAAUGGGUGGUAAAUUUCAUCUAAAGCUAAAUAUUGGCGAGAGACCGAUAGCGAACAAGUACCGUGAGGGAAAGAUGAAAAGAACUUUGAAAAGAGAGUUAAACAGUACGUGAAAUUGUCAAAAGGGAAGCGUUUGACACCAGUGUUGUUUUCUCGAAAAUCAAUUAAAAAUGGCUCGAUUUUGUAUUGUUUGAGACCUUAAAAGCUCACUGUACAUUUUUCGUGUCUUUUUUAAUGCACUUUUCGUUUAACAAGUCAACAUCAGUUUCUUUUGUUGUAAAAGGGUCAUUGGAAGGUGGCUUUCUUUUCGGAGAAAGUGUUUAUAGCCUUUGGCCUCUGCAAUCGGAGAGACUGAGGUCUGCAGCGUAGACUCUUCGGGGUUAGAUACAUUUGUGCUAAGUUAUAGCUUUUUAUAGACAACUUGUUGACUAUAAUUAGUCUUGUAGCUUACUCGCUUAUGCUAUUUUACCUACGCUUAGGAUGUUGACUGAUAUGUAGUCGUA
This 775-nucleotide ribosomal RNA is filed under the name uncultured Neocallimastigales. RNAcentral describes it as "partial large subunit ribosomal RNA". It matches the Rfam family "Eukaryotic large subunit ribosomal RNA", at positions 18 to 644 of the family's 3401-position model. The record is from RNAcentral. Lineage: Eukaryota; Fungi; Neocallimastigomycota; Neocallimastigomycetes; Neocallimastigales.